ACUAAAGCUAGCCCAACCCAAACCAAAUUCAACUAUAAUUAAGUUAAUAAAACAAAACAUUUAUCAAAAUAAAAGUAUAGGAGAUAGAAAUUAUGAACUGGCGCUAUAGAGAAAGUACCGUAAGGGAACGAGUGAAAGAACUUAAUUAAAAGUAAAAAAAAGCAAAGAUUAAACCUUUUACCUUUUGCAUAAUGAAUUAACUAGAACAUCUUAGCAAAGAGAACUUAAGUUAAGAACCCCGAAACCAGACGAGCUACCUUAGAGCAGCAAAAAAGAGCAAACUCAUCUAUGUGGCAAAAUAGUGAGAAGACUUUUAGGUAGAGGUGAAAAGCCUACCGAGCCUGGUGAUAGCUGGUUGUCCAGAAAAGAAUGUAAGUUCAACUUUAAUUUAUACAUAAAAAAAAACAAAUUUUAAUGUAAAAUUAAAUGUUAGUCUAAGGAGGUACAGCCCCUUAGACGCAGGAUACAACCUUGCCUGGCGAGUAAGCAUUUUAAAUAAACCAUAGUUGGCUUAAAAGCAGCCACCAAUUAAGAAAGCGUUCAAGCUCAACAACAAAAAUUUUAUUAAUCCCAAAAAUGGAACUAACUCCCAGAUUUUAACUGGACUAAUCUAUAUAUUUAUAGAAGAAUUACUGUUUAAUAUGAGUAACGAGAAUUUUUUUCUCCCUGCACAAGCCUAUAUCAGAUCGGAUAACCACUGAUAGUUAACAGCCAUAUAACCCAAACCACAAAUUAACCGGCUUAUAAAAUAAACUGUUAAUCCAACACAGGAGUGCUACCAAUCAAGGGAAAGAUUAAAAGAAGUAAAAGGAACUCGGCAAACAUAAACCCCGCCUGUUUACCAAAAACAUCACCUCUGGCAUUUUCAGUAUCAGAGGCACUGCCUGCCCAGUGACGCAAGUUAAACGGCCGCGGUAUCCUGACCGUGCAAAGGUAGCAUAAUCAUUUGUUCUCUAAUUAAGGACUUGUAUGAACGGGCACACGAAGGUUUAACUGUCUCUUACUUCCAAUCAGUGAAAUUGAACUUCCCGUGAAGAGGCGGGAAUGACAUAACAAGACGAGAAGACCCUAUGGAGCUUUAAUUAACUAACCCAAAAAAAAAUAACUCCAUUCCGACAGGAACUAUACUCACAUAAAACUGGGUUAACAAUUUUGGUUGGGGUGACCUCGGAGCAUAAACUAACCUCCGAGUGAUUUCAGCUUAGACCUACAAGUCAAAGCCCACUAGUCACAAUUGAUCCAAUAACUUUUGAUCAACGGAACAAGUUACCCUAGGGAUAACAGCGCAAUCCUAUUUAAGAGUUCAUAUCGACAAUAGGGUUUACGACCUCGAUGUUGGAUCAGGACAUCCCAAUGGUGCAGCCGCUAUUAAUGGUUCGUUUGUUCAACGAUUAAAGUCCUACGUGAUCUGAGUUCAGACCGGAGCAAUCCAGGUCGGUUUCUAUCUAUUUUAUAUUUCUCCCAGUACGAAAGGACAAGAGAAAUGAGGCCUACUCUACCUGAGAGCCUUAAAACCAAUAGAUGACUUCAUCUCAAUCUAGUAAUUUAUAACAACACAGCCCUAGAAAUUGGGCUU
RNAcentral lists this ribosomal RNA (1576 nucleotides) under Urotrichus talpoides (Japanese shrew mole). RNAcentral describes it as "16S ribosomal RNA". It matches the Rfam family "Bacterial large subunit ribosomal RNA". Lineage: Eukaryota; Metazoa; Chordata; Mammalia; Eulipotyphla; Talpidae. The record is from RNAcentral.